GGUUUUCGGAUCGUAAAGCUCUGUUGUUAGGGAAGAACAAGUACCGUUCGAAUAGGGCGGUACCUUGACGGUACCUAACCAGAAAGCCACGGCUAACUACGUGCCAGCAGCCGCGGUAAUACGUAGGUGGCAAGCGUUGUCCGGAAUUAUUGGGCGUAAAGGGCUCGCAGGCGGUUUCUUAAGUCUGAUGUGAAAGCCCCCGGCUCAACCGGGGAGGGUCAUUGGAAACUGGGGAACUUGAGUGCAGAAGAGGAGAGUGGAAUUCCACGUGUAGCGGUGAAAUGCGUAGAGAUGUGGAGGAACACCAGUGGCGAAGGCGACUCUCUGGUCUGUAACUGACGCUGAGGAGCGAAAGCGUGGGGAGCGAACAGGAUUAGAUACCCUGGUAGUCCACGCCGUAAACGAUGAGUGCUAAGUGUUAGGGGGUUUCCGCCCCUUAGUGCUGCAGCUAACGCAUUAAGCACUCCCCCUGGGGAG
This 477-nucleotide ribosomal RNA is filed under the name Bacillus subtilis. Its description in RNAcentral is "bacterial SSU rRNA". It matches the Rfam family "Bacterial small subunit ribosomal RNA", at positions 413 to 880 of the family's 1533-position model. Lineage: Bacteria; Bacillati; Bacillota; Bacilli; Caryophanales; Bacillaceae. The record is from RNAcentral.